Molecule: long non-coding RNA, 968 nt
Filed under: Homo sapiens (human)
Lineage: Eukaryota; Metazoa; Chordata; Mammalia; Primates; Hominidae
Description: HSALNT0031768
Source: RNAcentral
AGCCCUCAGCGUACAUGCCAGCUAAUUACAGAUGCAGGAGCAAACCCCUGGCCCAUACAUCAGUUGGGUGUGGUGACUCACACCUGCAAUCCCAGCACUUCAGGAGGCUGAAGAGAGCAGAUCACUUGCGGCCAGGAGUUCGAGACCAGUCUGGGCAACAUAGAUUUUGGAAGCAUUGCCUUCUACAGAAUCCACAGUAGUCCGAAGCUCUUCUACGGUUUUUGUCAAACUUUGAUUUUCCAUCUCUAGCUUCAAUAAUCUACUUGAUGUCAACUCAUUCACCUCAUGGCCCAGGGAUUUCUGGGGUGCUAUAAUAUUGAAAAAUACACCAUUGUAUUUACUCUUUACUGUUUUUACUAUGUUUACUCUUUACUAUUUAAAAAGUUGAGUGUAUAUGCAUUGCAUCAUCUGAUCCUUAACUUUAUUAAAAAUUCAAUGAGGUUAUAUAAGAUAAACAAGAUAAAAGAAGUAAAUCUUUUUUUUCCUUUUCUUUUUUUCUUUUUUUUAAAGAGACGGGGUCUCUCUCUGUCACCCAGGCUGGAGUGCAGUGAUGUGCUCCUAGCUCACUGCAGCCUCAAACGCCUGGUCUGAAGGGAUCCUCCCACCUCAGUCUCCCAAGCGGCCGGGACUGCAGGUACAGCCAGCUAAUUUUUUUAUUUUUUAGUAAAGACUGGGUCUCUGUUACUUAGGCUGGUCUCGAACUCCUGAGCUCAAGCAAUCCUCCUGCCUUGGCCUCCCAAAGUGCUGGGAUUACAGGCAUGAGCCGCUGCACCCAGCUAAGAGAUACAUGUUUAACUUUUAAUGCAUCCACAGCAUUCUAGUUAAAAAAAGCAUAAAAUUUAGAUUGAAGAAAUUGGAGUUCAAGCAGACCCAUUAAAUAUUUUGCUGAUAUAAGAACAUUAGGAUUUACAAAUGAAAUAUGAGACCUACUAUUUCAAGAAAGGAAAUGAAUAAAGGUACUGGAGAGA